RNAcentral lists this non-coding RNA (270 nucleotides) under Sporolactobacillus laevolacticus. Its description in RNAcentral is "T-box sequence". It matches the Rfam family "T-box leader". Rfam says of the family: Uncharged tRNA acts as the effector for transcription antitermination of genes in the T-box leader family. T-boxes are found upstream of many aminoacyl-tRNA synthetase genes and some amino acid biosynthetic genes usually in Gram-positive bacteria. Lineage: Bacteria; Bacillati; Bacillota; Bacilli; Caryophanales; Sporolactobacillaceae. The record is from RNAcentral.
AAAAAAGCGAUGAAGAGAAGAAGUAGAAAGUGCAGCUUUUCCGCAGAGAGCUCCGUUUGGUGCGAAGGAGCAAAGGCAAGCUUUCGAACAUGGCCUCUGAGCUGCGCGGCUGAACGGCGGUUCGUCACCAAAGUAAGUCGCGACAAGUUAAGGUUCUUGUUGCCAAAACCAAAGUAUCGAGCGGCUUUCUAAGCUCCGUACUUGCUGAGACCGGUCAUGCGAGUGUCCGGUGAAUCAAGGUGGUACCGCGGGAUAACCCCCGUCCUUAGU